UUUUGAAUCAAACUAAGUAACAGAUGAUUAAAGAACAAAACAGAUUAGAGGAAACAAGAAACACAAGGAACUGAAAAGAACAGAAAUAAGAGAACGAACAAAGAAACUUAAAGAAAUAAAAUAAGAACAAAGGAACAAAGAUGAUAAAGGAUAAGUAACCUGAUUUCUAGAACCAAAGCUCUGAUACCAAAUGACAAGAACCCACCAGGAGACCUGCCCUAGGA
RNAcentral lists this long non-coding RNA (224 nucleotides) under Phoenix dactylifera (date palm). Its description in RNAcentral is "long non-coding RNA (PDAC_LNC008995)". The record is from RNAcentral. Lineage: Eukaryota; Viridiplantae; Streptophyta; Magnoliopsida; Arecales; Arecaceae.